AGAGUUUGAUCCUGGCUCAGGAUGAACGCUGGCGGCGUGCCUAAUACAUGCAAGUCGAACGCUUCACUUCGGUGAAGAGUGGCGAACGGGUGAGUAAUACAUAAGUAACCUGGCAUCUACAGGGGGAUAACUGAUGGAAACGUCAGCUAAGACCGCAUAGGUGUAGAGAUCGCAUGAACUCUAUAUGAAAAGUGCUACGGGACUGGUAGAUGAUGGACUUAUGGCGCAUUAACUUGUUGGUAGGGUAACGGCCUACCAAGGCGACGAUGCGUAGCCGACCUGAGAGGGUGACCGGCCACACUGGGACUGAGACACGGCCCAGACUCCUACGGGAGGCAGCAGUAGGGAAUUUUCGGCAAUGGGGGAAACCCUGACCGAGCAACGCCGCGUGAAGGAAGAAGUAAUUCGUUAUGUAAACUUCUGUCAUAGAGGAAGAACGGUGGAUAUAGGGAAUGAUAUCCAAGUGACGGUACUCUAUAAGAAAGCCACGGCUAACUACGUGCCAGCAGCCGCGGUAAUACGUAGGUGGCGAGCGUUAUCCGGAAUUAUUGGGCGUAAAGAGGGAGCAGGCGGCACUAAGGGUCUGUGGUGAAAGAUUGAAGCUUAACUUCGGUAAGCCAUGGAAACCGUAGAGCUAGAGUGUGUGAGAGGAUCGUGGAAUUCCAUGUGUAGCGGUGAAAUGCGUAGAUAUAUGGAGGAACACCAGUGGCGAAGGCGACGAUCUGGCGCAUAACUGACGCUCAGUCCCGAAAGCGUGGGGAGCAAAUAGGAUUAGAUACCCUAGUAGUCCACGCCGUAAACGAUGAGUAUUAAGUGUUGGGGUGUCAAAGCUCAGUGCUGCAGUUAACGCAAUAAGUUAUUCCGCCUGAGUAGUACGUUCGCAAGAAUGAAACUCAAAGGAAUUGACGGGGGCCCGCACAAGCGGUGGAGCAUGUGGUUUAAUUAGAAGCAACGCGAAGAACCUUACCAGGUCUUGACAUCGAUCUAAAGGCUCCAGAGAUGGAGAGAUAGCUAUAGAGAAGACAGGUGGUGCAUGGUUGUCGUCAGCUCGUGUCGUGAGAUGUUGGGUUAAGUCCCGCAACGAGCGCAACCCCUGUUGCCAGUUGCCAGCAUUAAGUUGGGGACUCUGGCGAGACUGCCGGUGACAAGCCGGAGGAAGGCGGGGAUGACGUCAAAUCAUCAUGCCCCUUAUGACCUGGGCUACACACGUGCUACAAUGGACAGAGCAGAGGGAAGCGAAGCCGCGAGGUGGAGCGAAACCCAUAAAACUGUUCUCAGUUCGGACUGCAGGCUGCAACUCGCCUGCACGAAGUCGGAAUUGCUAGUAAUCGUGGAUCAGCAUGCCACGGUGAAUACGUUCCCGGGCCUUGUACACACCGCCCGUCA
This 1386-nucleotide ribosomal RNA is filed under the name uncultured bacterium. RNAcentral's name for it is "bacterial SSU rRNA". It matches the Rfam family "Bacterial small subunit ribosomal RNA". The record is from RNAcentral.